Molecule: non-coding RNA, 81 nt
Organism: Myotis lucifugus (little brown bat)
Lineage: Eukaryota; Metazoa; Chordata; Mammalia; Chiroptera; Vespertilionidae
Source: Rfam
AGGCCCGAAGAGAGAGGUAAGGUGUGAUCCGCAGCCUCCGUGGCAGCUGUUGAUCAGCUGUUGCCUCUCUCUUUGUCUCCG